RNAcentral lists this ribosomal RNA (446 nucleotides) under uncultured bacterium. Its description in RNAcentral is "partial 16S ribosomal RNA". It matches the Rfam family "Bacterial small subunit ribosomal RNA", at positions 338 to 795 of the family's 1533-position model. The record is from RNAcentral.
CCUACGGUGAGCAGCAGUCGAGAAUCAUUCACAAUGGGGGAAACCCUGAUGGUGCGACGCCGCGUGGGGGAAUGAAGGUCUUCGGAUUGUAAACCCCUGUCAUGUGGGAGCAAAUUAAAAAGAUAGUACCACAAGAGGAAGAGACGGCUAACUCUGUGCCAGCAGCCGCGGUAAUACAGAGGUCUCAAGCGUUGUUCGGAAUCACUGGGCGUAAAGCGUGCGUAGGCUGUUUCGUAAGUCGUGUGUGAAAGGCGCGGGCUCAACCCGCGGACGGCACAUGAUACUGCGGGACUAGAGUAAUGGAGGGGGAACCGGAAUUCUCGGUGUAGCAGUGAAAUGCGUAGAUAUCGAGAGGAACACUCGUGGCGAAGGCGGGUUCCUGGACAUUAACUGACGCUGAGGCACGAAGGCCAGGGGAGCGAAAGGGAUUAGAUACCCGGGUAGUC